GCUUUACACAUGCAAGUCGAACGGUAACAGGGAGCUUGCUCCGCUGACGAGUGGCGAACGGGUGAGUAAUAUAUCGGAACGUACCCAAGAGUGGGGGAUAACGUAGCGAAAGUUACGCUAAUACCGCAUACGAUCUAUGGAUGAAAGCAGGGGACCUUCGGGCCUUGUGCUCCUGGAGCGGCCGAUAUCUGAUUAGCUAGUUGGUGAGGUAAAGGCUCACCAAGGCGACGAUCAGUAGCUGGUCUGAGAGGACGACCAGCCACACUGGAACUGAGACACGGUCCAGACUCCUACGGGAGGCAGCAGUGGGGAAUUUUGGACAAUGGGCGCAAGCCUGAUCCAGCAAUGCCGCGUGAGUGAAGAAGGCCUUCGGGUUGUAAAGCUCUUUUGUCAGGGAAGAAACGGCUGUGGCUAAUAUCCACGGCUAAUGACGGUACCUGAAGAAUAAGCACCGGCUAACUACGUGCCAGCAGCCGCGGUAAUACGUAGGGUGCAACCGUUAAUCGGAAUUACUGGGCGUAAAGCGUGCGCAGGCGGUUUUGUAAGUCUGUCGUGAAAUCCCCGGGCUCAACCUGGGAAUUGCGAUGGAGACUGCAAGGCUAGAAUCUGGCAGAGGGGGGUAGAAUUCCACGUGUAGCAGUGAAAUGCGUAGAGAUGUGGAGGAACACCGAUGGCGAAGGCAGCCCCCUGGGUCAAGAUUGACGCUCAUGCACGAAAGCGUGGGGAGCAAACAGGAUUAGAUACCCUGGUAGUCCACGCCCUAAACGAUGUCUACUAGUUGUCGGGUUUUAAUUAACUUGGUAACGCAGCUAACGCGUGAAGUAGACCGCCUGGGGAGUACGGUCGCAAGAUUAAAACUCAAAGGAAUUGACGGGGACCCGCACAAGCGGUGGAUGAUGUGGAUUAAUUCGA
RNAcentral lists this ribosomal RNA (912 nucleotides) under Massilia timonae. RNAcentral describes it as "bacterial SSU rRNA". It matches the Rfam family "Bacterial small subunit ribosomal RNA", at positions 46 to 954 of the family's 1533-position model. Lineage: Bacteria; Pseudomonadati; Pseudomonadota; Betaproteobacteria; Burkholderiales; Oxalobacteraceae. The record is from RNAcentral.